UCUACAAGUCCUCGGCAUGCCUCGAUGGAGUUGAUGUUCUUGUAGAUCUUGCAUUCAAAAAAGUGGAGGCUUAUGUAUCUGAGGGUGAUUUUCCAUGUUUAGCUCGCUUGGUAACUGGAGUGGGGAACUUCCAUGCACUUAAUUUUAUUCUUGGUAUCCUUAUUGAAAAUGGUCAGCUCGAUCUUCUUCUUCAGAAGUUUUCAGCUGCUGUUGAUGCCAACGAUGCUGACGAGGAAGUAAGAGGAUUCAGAAUGGCUGUUCUCACAUUACUCAAGCAAUUUAAUCCCAAUGAUCUCGAUGCAUUUGCCAUGGUUUAUAGCCGCUUUGAUAUGAAAAAUGAGACUGCUUCUCUUUUGGAGUCACGAGCACACCAAUCUUGUAAGGAGUGGUCCCUCCAUUCUGACAAGGAUCAG
RNAcentral lists this unclassified non-coding RNA (413 nucleotides) under Hevea brasiliensis (rubber tree). Lineage: Eukaryota; Viridiplantae; Streptophyta; Magnoliopsida; Malpighiales; Euphorbiaceae. The record is from RNAcentral.